This 649-nucleotide ribosomal RNA is filed under the name Thalassospira xianhensis. Its description in RNAcentral is "bacterial SSU rRNA". It matches the Rfam family "Bacterial small subunit ribosomal RNA", at positions 46 to 733 of the family's 1533-position model. Lineage: Bacteria; Pseudomonadati; Pseudomonadota; Alphaproteobacteria; Rhodospirillales; Thalassospiraceae. The record is from RNAcentral.
GCCUACACAUGCAGUCGUACGAGAAGGUUCCUUCGGGAACUGGAGAGUGGCGCACGGGUGAGUAACGCGUGGGGACCUACCUCUUAGUGGGGGAUAACGGUUGGAAACGACCGCUAAUACCGCAUACGCCCUUCGGGGGAAAGAUUUAUCGCUAAGAGAUGGACCCGCGUUGGAUUAGAUAGUUGGUGAGGUAACGGCUCACCAAGUCAGCGAUCCAUAGCUGGUUUGAGAGGAUGAUCAGCCACACUGGGACUGAGACACGGCCCAGACUCCUACGGGAGGCAGCAGUGGGGAAUAUUGGACAAUGGGCGGAAGCCUGAUCCAGCCAUGCCGCGUGAGUGAAGAAGGCCUUCGGGUUGUAAAGCUCUUUCAGAUGCGAAGAUGAUGACGGUAACAUCAGAAGAAGCCCCGGCUAAUUUCGUGCCAGCAGCCGCGGUAAUACGAAAGGGGCAAGCGUUGUUCGGAUUUACUGGGCGUAAAGGGCACGCAGGCGGUCUUGCCAGUCAGGGGUGAAAGCCCGGGGCUCAACCCCGGAACUGCCUCUGAUACUGCAGGACUAGAGACUAGGAGAGGGUGGUGGAAUUCCCAGUGUAGAGGUGAAAUUCGUAGAUAUUGGGAGGAACACCAGAGGCGAAGGCGGCCACCUGGA